Molecule: ribosomal RNA, 465 nt
Filed under: Vreelandella stevensii
Lineage: Bacteria; Pseudomonadati; Pseudomonadota; Gammaproteobacteria; Oceanospirillales; Halomonadaceae
Description: partial 16S ribosomal RNA
Rfam family: Bacterial small subunit ribosomal RNA
Source: RNAcentral
CCUACGGGUGGCAGCAGUGGGGAAUAUUGGACAAUGGGCGAAAGCCUGAUCCAGCCAUGCCGCGUGUGUGAAGAAGGCCUUCGGGUUGUAAAGCACUUUCAGUGGGGAAGAAAGCCUUGGGGCUAAUACCCUCGAGGAAGGACAUCACCCACAGAAGAAGCACCGGCUAACUCCGUGCCAGCAGCCGCGGUAAUACGGAGGGUGCGAGCGUUAAUCGGAAUUACUGGGCGUAAAGCGCGCGUAGGCGGUCUGAUAAGCCGGUUGUGAAAGCCCCGGGCUCAACCUGGGAACGGCAUCCGGAACUGUCAGGAUAGAGUGCAGGAGAGGAAGGUAGAAUUCCCGGUGUAGCGGUGAAAUGCGUAGAGAUCGGGAGGAAUACCAGUGGCGAAGGCGGCCUUCUGGACUGACACUGACGCUGAGGUGCGAAAGCGUGGGUAGCAAACAGGAUUAGAUACCCCAGUAGUC